UACGUAGGUGGCAAGCGUUGUCCGGAUUUAUUGGGUUUAAAGGGUGCGUAGGCGGCCUUGUAAGUCAGUGCUGAAAUAUCCCGGCUUAACCGGGAGGGUGGCAUUGAUACUGCAGGGCUUGAGUAAAGUUGAGGUUGGCGGAAUUGACGGUGUAGCGGUGAAAUGCUUAGAUAUCGUCAAGAACACCGAUAGUGAAGACAGCUAACU
Molecule: ribosomal RNA, 207 nt
Filed under: uncultured bacterium
Lineage: Bacteria
Description: partial 16S ribosomal RNA
Rfam family: Bacterial small subunit ribosomal RNA
Source: RNAcentral